Molecule: ribosomal RNA, 119 nt
Filed under: Pteropus alecto (black flying fox)
Lineage: Eukaryota; Metazoa; Chordata; Mammalia; Chiroptera; Pteropodidae
Source: RNAcentral
GUCAAUGGCCAUGCCACCCUGAACAAGCCCGAUCUCGUCUGAUCUCGGAAGCUAAGCAGGGUCGGGCCUGGUUAGUACUUGGAUGGGAGACCACUUAGGAAGACCAGGUGCUGUAGGUG